Molecule: ribosomal RNA, 650 nt
Filed under: uncultured archaeon
Lineage: Archaea
Description: bacterial SSU rRNA
Rfam family: Archaeal small subunit ribosomal RNA
Source: RNAcentral
GGCCGUACGGGGUGCAGCAGGCGCGAAAACUUUACAAUGCUGGGAACAGCGAUAAGGGAACCUCGAGUGCCAGGUUACAAAUCUGGCUGUUGUGAUGCCUAAAAAGCAUUAUAUAGCAAGGGCCGGGCAAGACCGGUGCCAGCCGCCGCGGUAACACCGGCGGCUCGAGUGGUAACCGUUAUUAUUGGGUCUAAAGGGUCUGUAGCCGGCCGGAUAAGUCUCUUGGGAAAUCUGGCAGCUCAACUGUCAGGCUUUCAGGGGAUACUGUCUGGCUCGAGGCCGGGAGAGGUGAGAGGUACUUCAGGGGUAGGGGUGAAAUCUUGUAAUCCUUGAAGGACCACCAGUGGCGAAGGCGUCUCACCAGAACGGACCUGACGGCAAGGGACGAAAGCUAGGGGCACGAACCGGAUUAGAUACCCGGGUAGUCCUAGCCGUAAACGAUACUCGCUAGGUGUCGGCCACGGUGCGACCGUUGUCGGUGCCGUAGGGAAGCCGUGAAGCGAGCCACCUGGGAAGUACGGCCGCAAGGCUGAAACUUAAAGGAAUUGGCGGGGGAGCACCACAACGGGUGGAGCUUGCGGUUUAAUUGGAUUCAACGCCGGAAAUCUUACCGGGAUACGACAGCAACAGAAGGCCAGACUAGAGAAACU